AAAGACCCUGGCGCCUUUGUGAGCAUUUUGACACUGAACUUUCUCAUACACAGUAUUUUGAGCAUAAAACCACUAUUUCAAAACUGGAGUUUGGGAAAGAAAAUCCAAAAGGGCUAGAUCAAAUGCUGUACAGGACCCGCUGUCAUCCAGUCAAGACCAUACCAGCGGGAGUUAUGCACCGUAGAUGUUUAAAGAUGUCAGAGAUAACUUGGUCGGAGAGAAUGAAGUACCUGAAAAAAUGCACCCACCACCCGAGGACCUGGAAAACAACUUAGUAAAAGAGACCAUAAUUCAGACAACGACAAAACAGCAGAUGACCAAAGUAUUCAUCUUUUCCUUGACUCCAGCGAUUCAGAUUCAUUGGGAGAUGAAGAAGCAAACAUAUCCUGUUUUGUGCCCAUGACCCAGUAAUUGAUUGAGGUCUGCCAGCACUGAGGAUGUUGCAAUUCCUCAAAUGCGCAUCAGAGAAGACAAGAUACGAG
Molecule: long non-coding RNA, 482 nt
Organism: Xiphias gladius (swordfish)
Lineage: Eukaryota; Metazoa; Chordata; Actinopteri; Istiophoriformes; Xiphiidae
Exons: 3
Source: RefSeq, a predicted model, not a curated record